Molecule: long non-coding RNA, 1622 nt
Organism: Trachemys scripta elegans
Lineage: Eukaryota; Metazoa; Chordata; Testudines; Emydidae
Exons: 2
Source: RefSeq, a predicted model, not a curated record
GGUGUGUUUAUUGGCGCGAAGCACACCGGGCAACGGACCCGCUGUUGCUUUGCCUCGGGCACUCUGUGCUGGCAACAGUUUUGGCGCCCAACGUGGGGCUCGAGGCUGAAAUUUAGCCUUGCCCGGACCCCUCUCGGAGGUCGACAGAUUGCGGCGACGACUGACACCCAGCGCGCCGGUGACUUUGCCGGGGGCCUCGGCGGAGACGUGGUUUGGUCGACCCCGGAGGGCACAACGGUGUAACACGCUCGAGUAGUGGAGAAGCAGCUGCGGGCGACGGUGGGGAACCGGUCCCAUGGAUAGGGCAACGGUGCAGAACCAGACCCUUGGAUAAGGUAUACCAGAGAUUUGCAGCCUCUCCCGCUGGAUGCCCCUGUCCACUCCUUGCAGCCAGGCGAUUCUGUUCUCGUUUGGACCUGGAAGGACAAGCCUCUCCAAGAGAAGUGGAAGGGACCCCACACCGUCCUGCUGGUCUCCCACACAGCAGCAAAGGUCGAGGGACACAAGAACUGGAUUCAUCACUCCUGUCUGAAGGCAGUGCCCGCUCCUGAACGGUGGACCGUCCUGCCUACGGAAAAGGACUACCAGCGAUGACCUGAGACUUAAACUGUUAUUCAAAAGACAAUAAGGCCUGCUGAGAAUGCCCUGUGGUCUCUUUGGACAGUCGCAGCGCACUCCCCGUGAAAACGCUAAGCGUUGGUUGUGUUUACUCUCACAGGGCUGGCCUAACCUGGUGGCCUGGUCCUUUUGUUUUUAAUCUUCCUACUAUUGGUAAUUGAUAUUUUGUGGGUAUUUGGGGAAUUGUAAUUGUUAGGCCCUAGGGUCACCUGCCCAGCAUGAGUUCAGGUCCAGGGUCUGCCACAGUGGUACUCUUUGCCAUAGGGACACUCCUUUCGUUACCUCCUGUUUCCCCCCAGGCACAUAUGGGAUGGAAAGGGAUCCCUACUAACUUGGAAACAAACACAUAUGAGUCCUUGAAGGUUUGCUUUGCUCAAGAGUUUAACCUCUCUAACUGCUGAGUAUGCUCCCAAAUCCCGCACCAUGCAGCAGGGUUACCCUGGAGGGUGGUCCCCCAAAAUUGGUCAGAUAUCUGUUGGGGAUGGUUCAGUAGGGGAAGAAAUACCUCGGGUACCCCCUUGUCACAAAACUGUACCAUUGAAUCCCAAUAUGCAUUAAGGGACAACCCCUGGCCGCCCCAGGCAGCGUAAAUCUUUGUAUGCCACCUCAGAGCCCAUUAAGGAAGGAGACAGGUUGGGUAUAAUCCUUCUCCCAUCCCAUGGGGUGGGACGGCUAACCCAAUUUUAUUGCAGGCUCUCUGUGUUUCUCACCACAUUCGCCAAUGAAACCUUGGCCAUAGAGAAGAGCCUUAACUCAGAGCUAUACCAGCUCCGGUUGCUGUCCCUGAAAAACAGACAGGCCUUAAAUUAUGUUUUAGCCUCCCAGGGCGGGGUGUGUGCGCUUAUUGGGAAUGAAUGUUGUACUUAGGUCCCGGAAAACUCACAGGACAUUAACAAGCACGUCCUGUCAGCCGAACAGGCUUUUGAGCAGUGGGAGGCCCAGGAAAGGGAACCCACAGGUUUCGAUUCCCUUUGAAGUUGGUUGCCCAACCUAGGAGGACUGGG